GACGAACGCUGGCGGCGUGCUUAACACAUGCAAGUCGAACGGAAAGGCCCUGCUUUUGUUGGGUGCUCGAGUGGCGCACGGGUGAGUAACACGUGAGUAACCUGCCCUUGACUUUCGGAUAUCUUCAGGAAACUGGGGCUAAUACCGGAUAGGAGCUCCUGCUCCAUGGUGGUGGUUGGAAAGUUGCGGCGGUUGGGGAUGGACUCGCGGCUUAUCCGCUUGUUGGUAGGGUAGUGGCUUACCAAGGCUUUGACGGGUAGCCGGCCUGAGAGGGUGACCGGCCACAUUGGGACUGAGAUACGGCCCAGACGGCUACGGGAGGCAGCAGUGGGGAGUAUUGCACAAUGGGCGGAAGCCUGAUGCAGCGACGCCGGGUGCGGGAUGACGGCCUUCGGGUUGUAAACCGCUUUCGCCGGUGACGAAGAGUGAGUGACGGUAAUGGGUAAAGAAGCACCGGCUAACUACGUG
This 468-nucleotide ribosomal RNA is filed under the name uncultured bacterium. Its description in RNAcentral is "partial 16S ribosomal RNA". It matches the Rfam family "Bacterial small subunit ribosomal RNA", at positions 28 to 507 of the family's 1533-position model. The record is from RNAcentral.